This 571-nucleotide ribosomal RNA is filed under the name uncultured eukaryote. RNAcentral describes it as "eukaryotic LSU rRNA". The stretch from base 182 to 335 matches the Rfam family "5.8S ribosomal RNA". The record is from RNAcentral.
AACAAGGUCUCCGUUGGUGAACCAGCGGAGGGAUCAUUAUCGAGUUAUUCAACUCCCAAACCCUAUGUGAACUUACCACUUGUUGCUUCGGCGCGCGCUUCGGCGCCGCCGAGGACACUUAAACUCUUUGUUUUUAUAAGCAUUUCUGAGUGGCCGAAAGGCAAAAAUACAAAUGAAUCAAAACUUUCAACAACGGAUCUCUUGGUUCUGGCAUCGAUGAAGAACGCAGCGAAAUGCGAUAAGUAAUGUGAAUUGCAGAAUUCAGUGAAUCAUCGAAUCUUUGAACGCACAUUGCGCCCGCCAGCAUUCUGGCGGGCAUGCCUGUUCGAGCGUCAUUUCAACCCUCGAGCCCGACUCUUUUGAGGACGGCUCGGCGUUGGGGGACGGCAGACUCCCCCCGGCAUCUCGCCGGGGACGCCGCCCCCGAAAUCUAGUGGCGGCCCUCCGAGGCGACCUCUGCGUAGUAACUUGUUCUCGCACCGGAAAGCUCAGAGCGGCCACGCCGUAAAACCCCAACUUUUUUCAGGUUGACCUCGAAUCAGGUAGGACUACCCGCUGAACUUAAGCAUAU